Molecule: ribosomal RNA, 496 nt
Filed under: uncultured bacterium
Lineage: Bacteria
Description: partial 16S ribosomal RNA
Rfam family: Bacterial small subunit ribosomal RNA
Source: RNAcentral
GAUGAACGCUGGCGGCGUGCCUAAUACAUGCAAGUCGAGCGAACAGACGAGGAGCUUGCUCCUUCGACGUUAGCGGCGGACGGGUGAGUACACGUAGGUAACCUACCUAUAAGACUGGGAUAACUUCGGGAAACCGGAGCUAAUACCGGAUAAUAUUUCGCACCGCCUGGUUCGAUAGUGAAAGAUGGCUUUGCUAUCACUUAUAGAUGGACCUGCGCCGUAUUAGCUAGUUGGUAAGGUAACGGCUUACCAAGGCAACGAUACGUAGCCGACCUGAGAGGGUGAUCGGCCACACUGGAACUGAGACACGGUCCAGACUCCUACGGGAGGCAGCAGUAGGGAAUCUUCCGCAAAGGGCGAAAGCCUGACGGAGCAACGCCGCGUAAGUGAUGAAGGUCUUCGGAUCGUAAAACUCUGUUAUUAGGGAAGAACAAACGUGUAAGUAACUGUGCACGUCUUGACGGUACCUAAUCAGAAAGCCACGGCUAACUACGUG